Long non-coding RNA from Hypanus sabinus (Atlantic stingray), 3693 nucleotides. RefSeq lists it as uncharacterized. NCBI's taxonomy places the organism in Eukaryota, Metazoa, Chordata, Chondrichthyes, Myliobatiformes, Dasyatidae. The transcript is spliced from 3 exons. The record is from RefSeq and is a predicted model, not a curated record.
GUUGACGGUGGAAUUGAACACCGGUUGCUGACGAUGGAAUUGAUCACCGGUUGCUGACGAUGGAAUUGAACAUGGGAUGAUGACGGUGGAAUUGAACGCGGGUUGAUGACGAUGGAAUUGAACGCGGGUUGAUGUCAAUGGAAUUGAACACGGGUUGAUGACGAUGGAAAUUAACACAGGUUGUUGGGGUGAAAUUGAACACGGUUUAUGAUAGUCUCGUUGAUCACGGGGUUGCUGAUGGUGGAAUUGAACACAGGUUGAUGACGGUGGAAUUGAACAGGUUGUUGGGAUGGAAUUGAACACGGGUUUCAGGCGAUGUAGUUAAAGACGGGUUGCUGACAAUGGAAUUGAACACAUUUUGAUGACGGUGGGAAUUAACACAGGUUGUUGGGGUGAAAUUGAACAUGGUUUAUGACGGGUGAAUUGAACACGAGGUUGUUGACUGUGGAAUUAAACACUGGUUGCUGACGGUGGAAUUGAACACGGGUUGAUGAUGGUGGAAUUGAACACCGGUUGCUGACAGUGGUAUUGAACACGGGUUGUCGACGGUGGAAUUGAACGCAGGUUGAUGACGGUGGAAUUGAACACGGGUUGCUGACAGUGGAAUAUAACACCGGUUGUAGACGAUGCAAUUGAACAUGGGUUGAUGACGGUGGCAUUGAACGCGGGUUGAUGACGAUGGAAUUGAACACAGGUUGCAGAUGGUGGAAUUGAACACGGGUUGAUGACGGUGGAAUUGAACAGGUUGUUGGGAUGGAAUUGAACACGGGUUUCAGGCGAUGUAGUUAAAGACGGGUUGCUGACAAUGGAAUUGAACACAUUUUGAUGACGGUGGGAAUUAACACAGGUUGUUGGGGUGAAAUUGAACAUGGUUUAUGACGGGUGAAUUGAACACGAGGUUGUUGACUGUGGAAUUAAACACUGGUUGCUGACGGUGGAAUUGAACACGGGUUGAUGAUGGUGGAAUUGAACACCGGUUGCUGACAGUGGUAUUGAACACGGGUUGUCGACGGUGGAAUUGAACGCAGGUUGAUGACGGUGGAAUUGAACACGGGUUGCUGACAGUGGAAUAUAACACCGGUUGUAGACGAUGCAAUUGAACAUGGGUUGAUGACGGUGGCAUUGAACGCGGGUUGAUGACGAUGGAAUUGAACACAGGUUGCAGAUGGUGGAAUUGAACACGGGUUGAUGACGGUGGAAUUGAACAGGUUGUUGGGAUGGAAUUGAACACGGGUUUCAGGCGAUGUAGUUAAAGACGGGUUGCUGACAAUGGAAUUGAACACAUUUUGAUGACGGUGGGAAUUAACACAGGUUGUUGGGGUGAAAUUGAACAUGGUUUAUGACGGGUGAAUUGAACACGAGGUUGUUGACUGUGGAAUUAAACACUGGUUGCUGACGGUGGAAUUGAACACGGGUUGAUGAUGGUGGAAUUGAACACCGGUUGCUGACAGUGGUAUUGAACACGGGUUGUCGACGGUGGAAUUGAACGCAGGUUGAUGACGGUGGAAUUGAACACGGGUUGCUGACAGUGGAAUAUAACACCGGUUGUAGACGAUGCAAUUGAACAUGGGUUGAUGACGGUGGCAUUGAACGCGGGUUGAUGACGAUGGAAUUGAACACAGGUUGCAGAUGGUGGAAUUGAACACGGGUUGAUGACGGUGGAAUUGAUCAUGGGUUGCUGACGGUGGAAUUGAACACGGGUUGCUGAUGGUAGAUAUGAAUAACACAGGUUGGUGAUGGUGGAAUUGAACAUGGGUGUCGGAUGGUGUAAUCGAAUACCGUUUGCUGACAGUGGAAAUGAACACGGGUUGCUGACAGUGGAAUUGAAGACGUGUUGCUGACGGCGGUAUUGAACACGGGUUGAUGACGGUGGAAAUUAGCACAGGUUGUUGAGGUGAAAUUGAACACGGGUCGUUGACGGUGGAAUUGAACAGUGGUUGCUGACGGUUGAAUUGCACACGGGUUGAUGACGGUGGAAAUUAACACAGGUUGUUGAGGUGAAAUUGAACACGGGUUGCUGACGAUGCAAUUGAACACGAUUUGAUGAUGGUGGAAAUUAACACAGUUUGUUGGGGUGAUAUUGAACACGGUUUAUGACAGUGUCAUUGUACACGAGGUUGUUGACAGUGGAAUUGAACACGGGUUGCUGACAGUGGAAUUGAACACGGGGUUGCUGACGGUGGAAUUGAACACGAGUUGCUGACAGUGGAAUUGAACACCGGUUGCUGACGGUGGAAUUGUACACGGGUUGCUAAUGUUGGAAUUGAACACGGGUUGCUUAUGGUGGAAUUGAACACGGGUUGAUGACGAUGGAAUUGAACACAGGUUGGUUACGGUGGCAUUGAACAGGGGUUGAUGACGAUGGAAUUGAACACGGGUUGCUGGCGAUGGAAUUGAACACGGGUUGAUGACGGUGGCAUGGAACAUGGGUUGGUGACGGUGGAAUUGAACAGGGGUUGAUGACGAUGGAAUUGAACACAGGUUGCUGAUGGUAGAUUUGCAUAACACAGGUUUGUGAUGGUGGAAUUGAACAUGGGUUGCGGAUGGUGUAAUCGAAUACCGUUUGCUGACAGUGGAAUUGAACAUGGGUUGCUGACAGUGGAAUUGAACAUGGGUUGAUGACGGUGGAAAUUAACACAGGUUGUUGAGGUGAAAUUGAACACGGGUUGCUGACGAUGGAAUUGAAUACGUUUUGUUGACGGUGGGAAUUAACACAGGUUGUUGGGGUGAAAUUAAACAUGGUAUGACAGUGUCAUUGAAGACGAGGUUGCUGAUGGAGGAAUUGAACACGGGUUGAUGACGGUGGAAUUGAACGCGGGUUGAUGACGAUGGAAUUGAACACAGGUUGCUGAUGGUGGAAUUGAACACGGGUUGCUGACGGUGGAAUUGAACACGGGUUGCUGAUGGUAGAUAUGAAUAACACAGGUUGGUGAUGGUGGAAUUGAACAUGGGUGGCGGAUGGUGUAAUCGAAUACCGUUUGCUGACAGUGGAAAUGAACACGGGUUGCUGACAGUGGAAUUGAAGACGGGUUGCUGACGGUGGUAUUGAACACGGGUUGAUGACGAUGGAAAUUAACACAGUUUGUUGGGGUGAUACUGAACACGGUUUAUGACAGUGUCAUUGUACACGAGGUUGUUGACAGUGGAAUUGAACACGGGUUGCUGACAGUGGAAUUGAACACGGGGUUGCUGACGGUGGAAUUGAACACGAGUUGCUGACAGUGGAAUUGAACACCGGUUGCUGACGGUGGAAUUGUACACGGGUUGCUAAUGUUGGAAUUGAACACGGGUUGCUUAUGGUGGAAUUGAACACGGGUUGAUGACGAUGGAAUUGAACACGGGUUGGUUACGGUGGCAUUGAACAGGGGUUGAUGACGAUGGAAUUGAACACGGGUUGCUGGCGAUGGAAUUGAACACGGGUUGAUGAUGGUGGCAUGGAACACGGGUUGGUGACGGUGGAAUUGAACAGGGGUUGAUGACGAUGGAAUUGAACACAGGUUGCUGAUGGUAGAUUUGAAUAACACAGGUUGGUGAUGGUGGAAUUGAACAUGGGUUGCUUAAGGUAGAUUUGCAUAACACAGGUUUCUGAUGGUGGAAUUGAACAUGGGUUGUGGAUGGUGUAAUCGAAUAACGUUUGCUGACAGUGGAAUUGAACACGGGUUGCUGACAGUGGAAUUGAAGACGGGUUGCUGA